Molecule: long non-coding RNA, 364 nt
Filed under: Phoenix dactylifera (date palm)
Lineage: Eukaryota; Viridiplantae; Streptophyta; Magnoliopsida; Arecales; Arecaceae
Description: long non-coding RNA (PDAC_LNC002637)
Source: RNAcentral
AGGGAGAGAAGGAGAUAAAAAGAAGCACUGGAUUGGAGCAUUUAAAAACCAGCCGGCAGCGUCGAGUCCGGACCUCGGAUUACGAAGCCGGCCCCUUCUCUGCUGCCUUUGUCGAACACCUUGUUUGUUUUCUCCCAUAAAAGUAGUCCGGUUAGCAAACAUGGGAGUGCUGAUGUGGAGGCUUCACCUUUUCUUUCUUUUUUUUUUUCUUUUUUAUCACAAAUGCCACUUACAUGUUUAACAUAUUCUAUCUUUUUGUAACACUAUUUACUUGCGUCUCAAGAAUUGAUGAGCUACCUGAAAAAUUUCUCCUUGAAGCCCCUAAUCAAUCAACAUAGGGCACACCCUUUUAGAUUCUAAGUUC